GGACUACCCGGGUUUCUAAUCCUGUUUGCUCCCCUAGCUUUCGUUCCUCAGCGUCAGUAGUGGUCCAGCGCGCCGCCUUCGCCACGGGUGUUCCUGCAGAUAUCUACGCAUUUCACCGCUACACCUGCAAUUCCACGCGCCUCUCCCACACUCCAGCACAGCAGUUUCGGAAGCAGCCUCUGGGUUAAGCCCAGAGAUUUCACUCCCGACUUGCUACACCGCCUACGAACCCUUUACACCCAGUAAUUCCGAACAACGCUGGCCCCCUACGUCUUACCGCGGCUGCUGGCAC
RNAcentral lists this ribosomal RNA (292 nucleotides) under uncultured Acidobacteriota bacterium. RNAcentral describes it as "uncultured Acidobacteria bacterium partial 16S ribosomal RNA". The record is from RNAcentral. Lineage: Bacteria; Pseudomonadati; Acidobacteriota.